Brassica rapa (field mustard) is the source of this 1366-nucleotide long non-coding RNA. RefSeq lists it as uncharacterized. The record is from RefSeq and is a predicted model, not a curated record. Lineage: Eukaryota; Viridiplantae; Streptophyta; Magnoliopsida; Brassicales; Brassicaceae.
UUCCAUCUCACGAGUGUUUUGAGAUACAGAGGAAAGGCCUACACGGCCUCCGCCGCCGAAGUUCGUCGGAAAUGGAGCAGAGGUGGUUUUGAGAUUUGAAAACUUUCUAAAAGGGGGAAAGUAACCGGGUUGGUAAGGGGGUCAGACAAAAGUCAGUUUAGUACCCAUGAUUAGAAAGGCAAUAAACCAGAAAGGUUAAAACCGUGGGAAAGUCAAACCAGCUCUACCAAUACUGCCUCGAGAAAGUCGCCUGGAAGAGAAAGUUUUGCUUUUUUUUUUGCUAAAAUGAUAUAUAAAUAUGGCUAAGAUAAAAAUUGUAAAAAUGUGUGUAUGUUUUUUUUGAGGUAAUUGCAUUGUAGAACCAACAGAAAAAAAUAAAUUAAGUAAAUAUUUUACCUCAAGAUCACCACAAAAUCAGCCUUUUCCUUCUUUUUGUUGAAUGAAAGCUCUCUCCUUCUUUUCAUAUGCAAUAACAUCUUGAUACACUUUCUUUGUCCUCUUCUUCGAUGGCUUAACCGGUGGAGAGCACGAUCAUCUAACUCUUCAACCACCUCACCUCCUCUGUUAUCCUCUCUGCACGCUAUUCCAUCUGCUCUCCCUCCGGUCAGGCCACCUCCUUCUCAACCUCAAUCAGCUUCACCUUUAAUAUCGUUUGCAACCAUCUUUUCCUCUACGAGUACGACCGUCGUCACUUCCUCCCGACAUCUCUUCUUCUCCUCAACUUCGUAUGAUAAAAUGAACAAUAAUAAGCUUUGUUUCCUUUUCCUGGAUCUCACGUGAGAGAAACAGGGUAGCUGAUUGUUUAGCAAAGCAGGUUUUGUCUGCUGAACUUGCCAUUAUGGCCCCAACCAACUCUGUUUAAGAGCUUUAAUGAAUGAAAUGUGUUUCAAAAAAAAAAUGAACAAUAAGAAAAAAUGAACAGUAAAAAACAUGUAUUAUAUUGUUGUGUACUAAUUUCUCUUAUUUUUGAGUACACAAUAGUAUUUGUGAAGCCAUAAAUAUUGUGUGAUACAUAGACUUAUUGCUGACACUAAUCUAAAAUUUGUUUCAGCAAAUAAUAUAAAAUCAAAUUAGUUCAUAAAUAUAGCAUACAUGUUGUUAUAGUCAAAUAAAAUUGUAUAGUAUGAAGUUCAGUGAAUCAAGUAAAUCUGUUUUUUUGAACCAAGAAAUGUCAUCUCAUGACACCUUCUUUGUCAUAUUUUUUUUUUGGGUCAAACGUUAACCUUAUUUGUCAUCUUAAUCGCCAUCUCUGUCACUGAUGUGUGGUUUUUCUUUCUGUUAUCUCCCAUUUGAUUUGCACAUCAUCUUGUAUAGUAUACUAUGUUGUUGUUCUGAUUGAUUAUGUUAUACUGUUUUGCAUGUUUCA